This 1306-nucleotide long non-coding RNA is filed under the name Fukomys damarensis (Damara mole-rat). Its description in RNAcentral is "lncRNA (ENSFDAG00000022682.1)". Lineage: Eukaryota; Metazoa; Chordata; Mammalia; Rodentia; Bathyergidae. The record is from RNAcentral.
GUUUGGCUCUUGAAAGCCCCACUGAGAGAGCUAACACUAUUAUCUCUGUGUUAUGGACAAAACUGUCUGUGGAUGAGGGACCUUGCCCAAGGCCCAGGGUGGGUGAUGAGGCCAGGAUUUGACCUGGAAGUGCCUGGUCCCCAAGUUCACAUCCUAAAAUUGAGCUAUGACCUUGUCUCUAUGUGGGCCACAACUCAGCCAUUCAGAAUCAGAUGACACUCCCUGCUCUGAGGCAGGGUCCUCUCUGUCCCCUGAAGAACCUGGUGACAGCCUCUGCUCUGUCCUUCACUCUAAGCUUCAUGACAGCUGUUGAACGAGCAGAAUGCAGUGGUUGUGACACAUGAGCUUUUGGUACAGCUUAUAAAAGCCUACAGACCCCACCCAGCCUGGAGCAUCACUGGGGUAAGACAGCAGACCCCUGCUUGAAAGGGGGCAUCAGAGACACUAUUGUGUGCAGGAAUGGACAACAAAGCGGUUUGAACCCCUAUAAGUACUCAUUAUGAUGACCUGGAGUUGGGGGUCCCAGGGAGACCUUUCAGUUCCCUUAAGGCUCAGGCUAUGCCUCAGCUAACUUGGCUCAAGCUGCUUGCCUUUACUCUACCACUGGGGAGGGAGCAGCCCUCCAGAUGUGUGAAAGGUGGCAGCCUGGGACAUUGAAGCCCAACAUACAGUCACAUGGACAUCAUGGGACCAGCUUCUGGGAACCACAGAGACCAUCUCCAUGCCUGGCAUCAACUCCUCUUCAAGUUGCCCCGUGCUCAUCCACCAGGAAGCAUCCUGAUGUGGGCCAGCAGCUCAAGUGUCAGUCCAGCUCCAAGUCCAGCAAUCCUUUCCACACCACGCUAGCCUUUCCCAGGUCCUUACUCCAAGCCAAGCCACACCACACCAGAGCCAUCCUUCUACACACCAGCCGGGAUCCUGCCUCCUCUCCCACAUGGCCACACCAUAGCUCGUCCUUCUGAGCUUUAUCACUUACCGUGAUUUAAAGAUCAAACGUCCUCCCACAUCCCAAUUUCUGCUCUUGUUCUUUGUCUGCAUCUGAUUGUUUUUAUUGUUUUGUUAGGUGUCGGCAAUAUUGUCCUUUUUUUGAUUAGUCUGUUUCAUGAUGUGGGAAAAACCACCCCAAGGCUAUGGUAGAUUCUGAGCCCCAACAGUGUCAGAAGUAAUGACUCCCUAGUCUGUAGCCAGCGAUGGCAGAGGGACCAGACAAACUCCCAGAACGGGGAUCCUUGGAGAAUUAAAGCCCAAACACAUUCAUCUAGGGCAGCUGUCUACAACACACACCAGCAGCUUCAGAAUAAAUCAC